Long non-coding RNA from Gallus gallus (chicken), 1972 nucleotides. The record is from Ensembl. Lineage: Eukaryota; Metazoa; Chordata; Aves; Galliformes; Phasianidae.
CUAAACCAGAAAGUGAAUACAAAAUCCCGAAGUUAGACUUUCAUUACUAGCAUAGAGGAUGGACAGAAACUGGGAGAUGCACAUCUUUUUUCCUUUCAGGUAUGGGUAUACUGCUACCCAUUUUGGGACAGCGACCUUCUAACAGCCUUCUAACCCACGCUGUGUAUAUAAGGAGCCGUGUACUUUUCCAAGCUGACAGUUGCUCUGUUCCUAUAUAUAGCUUGCAAUAGAGCAUGACAGAGAAAACUGGAGUUGGAGGGAUGACACAAAAAUAAGCUAUUGGAUUCAGGCAAGGGAGGAAUUUGCCUUCAGCUGAAAUUUGAAAAGUUACAGACCGACAUGCAGCAUCCUAAAAGGCUUCGACAGGCUUAUUAUCAGAAAGAGUGUAAUUUCUUUUCCCAUCAUACAUUCUCAAAGUCAUAGCUGCAGGCCUUUCUUUUGUUAAUAUGGGCAGCAUGUUUGGUUUGCUUUUUGGAGAUGAGACAGAUCACAGGCUUUAUUACUGCCCAUGGCAUGAGGCAUCAACAUUGGAACCAUGUAUGCACUUCUUGCCAGUGUAUCACUUAUAUCUUUUUUCUCCAAACCAGAAAAAACCCUGUAUUUUUAGGAAGACGGAGCAAGCCCUUAAAUACAAAUCAGCUGAUUGUCAGUCUGUUCUCCAUUUUCUAUCUCCUUCAACCACAUUGCUUCAUACUUGCCUUUAAGUUAAACCUGUCCAAUGAGCUUUUGCUCUCUGUGACAGACUUACAGAAAACAGACUAAGCGAUUUAUCCUCUCACGCUGCAAGCCAGGCGGCUCCUCCAAGCAGAUGUAUGACAGCCAUGGGAGCUAAGUGCAGCCCAUAGACACUCGAAGGCAGCAGUGAGCAUGAUUCAGGGGAAAUGGAAGCUCCCCUGCAUGUUGAAGGACCAGAAAAGGGCAGGUGCUCAUGUACUGUGGUGUAAUUCUAUUCAUUCACUGUGCAAAGUAUGUGGUUAAUGAGCAUUACAUAUUACUGCUAAAGCAGUUUGUCCUCUUGUGCUCUGCAGUGAAGGCUCAGACUGCUCCUCCACUUUCCCCAACACACACCUGCAUUAUGCCCACACAGAAUCGUGGAAUCAAAGAUAUACAUCAUAGACAUACAGCACUCCCCCAGCCUAGGAAGGUGAGAUGCAAGAGGAGAUGUAGCACAGACUGUGAGCAGGUGAAUGUGCAGGAUCCUUGGUGUUCAAGGGUAAGGGGGUAAGGCAGCCCUAAGUUACAGAGCUUUGCAAGGAAAGGUUUCCUCCUCUACCUGAUGGAGAGGCUGCUACCACCACCUGAUUGCCUGACAUUUCUUUUCAUAAGACCACGUUUCCAAUUGCUAAGAUGCUUGUCAAACUUUAAGCACCAUGCCAGCACACCGAGUAUGCGGCCCGCAGGGAAUAACCAUGUAAGAUUUUCUCUGUGAUGGUUUGUUCACUUAACGAGGUGUUGCAGCAGGUCUCCCAUAGUCUUAAACUUUGGAACAGGGAAUCAGAAAUGAGGAGGCAGGGAGGACUGCAGCCUGGAGGCGGUGAGGACGAGGAGAUGGAGGACCGCCGCCGGAGCAGGGCGGGUCCCGCUGGUAGGGGCUUAUCGCACAGGCCCAGGCCUACCGCUGGCACGUGUGGUGCGCGUCGAGCUUCUGGCCGAGGUAACAGCGUCCCUAUCAGUAAAGUAGCGCAGAAGGAAAGCUGCCACCCCACCCUGUUUCCCUCUUUUGGGUUUGAACACUCGGCCCGUACAGCCACGGGCAGCUACUGCUGCUCUCGCGCCCGUGGUUACCGCGCCGCCAACUGCCGGGCAGGAACGCGCCGAGCCCUGCGGCCGUUCAAGGAGAGCGUCUCGCGGCACUGCACCGCGGCCCCCGAGGCCACGCCCAUUCCCCUCCGCACUUCGUCGCUCGCCUUCCCCUCCCCGAGCCGUUCUCCACCCCGGCCCGGCCCCUCUCACCGCCUCACGGAGCUCCCCG